GUUGAGUUGAGUUGAGUUUUAUAUGCUCAGCUUUUCCCCCCUCUUUCAUUUAGAUUUUACUUUGGGCUAGACCCUAACAAUCACGUAUUAUAGAGAUUAGAUUAGUUGAAGAAAAACUAUAAGCUUGGGUAAGAGAUAGAUUUCUUAAAAUGGACGAGAUUUUAGGCUGGACAAGUGCAAUAACAGUCUAAAACCUAAAUGAAAAACAUGGAGACAAUUUUAUAGUUCUAAAGAAAAAACACAUUACAUGAGAAAAACAUCAACACAUCUUGCAUGAGCAUACAUUGAUAUGUAUAAUGUAAAUGGGUGCGGAAACAUUUGAAAUUUGAAUAACAAAAGCUACAAGGUUUAAAUUAUAAUAUUUACAAAAAUGUACUAAAUGAUAUAAUAUGAAACCUAGACCAAAAUAUAUAUAUAUAGAAUGGCUCAUUUACCAAUUCAAGCAUACACCAUGUUGCUAUGAAUCAACCCAAGGUAUGAUUUUCUUUGGUUUUUGAACUAUUCGUUUGUAGUUUUUAACAAAAAUAACCAAUUUGUUUAGGACUCAUAUUUCUUUUAUUCAUUAGGGAAAAAGUUACUAAUUAGCCCCUGAACUUUUGGCCAAGGCUCAAUUGAGCACUUAAGUUGUUUUGGGGUAUAAAAUUGGGUCUGUUAAGAUUAUUGCAGGAUUCUGUACAAGGCUGGGAUAGUGUAAGAAUUGUGUACCUGUAAAUUAGGCUAACAUUAAGAAUUAAUUUAGGGAAGUAAUCUUAGGAUUGAUUUAGGUAAUCUUUCCCUUUUCAUUGUAAACUAACACUAUAUAUUUAGAGAAGAAUACACAUCCUAUUUUUCCAAACAUCAAUUCUCUUCUUCUUUUUUCACUCUCUUUUCUUCCUUUUACAUGGUGUUAGAGCCUAAGAUCUGAUCAUUCCUUUCUUUCUACUAUACUUUUCCCAUAUUCCACUGUUCCUGAGAAACGAGGCUGCAAUCUCUAGUUCAUAGGUGCUUGGGGGUCAAUUCUCUUCACCACCCUCACCACUAGGAGCUCCUCCCACUAAUCGGCCAGCCACCUAAAUCUCAUCACCAGAAAGAGUCCCACAGGCCGCCACGAAUGUCCAUGGUUUUAAAUAAUGGCCAUUAUUUAAAACCAUGGACAUUCGUGGCGGCCUGUGGGACUCUUUCUGGUGAUGAGAUUUAGGUGGCUGGCCGAUUAGUGGGAGGAGCUCCUAGUGGUGAGGGUGGUGAAGAGAAUUGACCCCCAAGCACCUAUGAACUAGAGAUUGCAGCCUCGUUUCUCAGGAACAGUGGAAUAUGGGAAAAGUAUAGUAGAAAGAAAGGAAUGAUCAGAUCUUAGGCUCUAACACCAUGUAAAAGGAAGAAAAGAGAGUGAAAAAAGAAGAAGAGAAUUGAUGUUUGGAAAAAUAGGAUGUGUAUUCUUCUCUAAAUAUAUAGUGUUAGUUUACAAUGAAAAGGGAAAGAUUACCUAAAUCAAUCCUAAGAUUACUUCCCUAAAUUAAUUCUUAAUGUUAGCCUAAUUUACAGGUACACAAUUCUUACACUAUCCCAGCCUUGUACAGAAUCCUGCAAUAAUCUUAACAGACCCAAUUUUAUACCCCAAAACAACUUAAGUGCUCAAUUGAGCCUUGGCCAAAAGUUCAGGGGCUAAUUAGUAACUUUUUCCCUAAUGAAUAAAAGAAAUAUGAGUCCUAAACAAAUUGGUUAUUUUUGUUAAAAACUACAAACGAAUAGUUCAAAAACCAAAGAAAAUCAUACCUUGGGUUGAUUCAUAGCAACAUGGUGUAUGCUUGAAUUGGUAAAUGAGCCAUUCUAUAUAUAUAUAUUUUGGUCUAGGUUUCAUAUUAUAUCAUUUAGUACAUUUUUGUAAAUAUUAUAAUUUAAACCUUGUAGCUUUUGUUAUUCAAAUUUCAAAUGUUUCCGCACCCAUUUACAUUAUACAUAUCAAUGUAUGCUCAUGCAAGAUGUGUUGAUGUUUUUCUCAUGUAAUGUGUUUUUUCUUUAGAACUAUAAAAUUGUCUCCAUGUUUUUCAUUUAGGUUUUAGACUGUUAUUGCACUUGUCCAGCCUAAAAUCUCGUCCAUUUUAAGAAAUCUAUCUCUUACCCAAGCUUAUAGUUUUUCUUCAACUAAUCUAAUCUCUAUAAUACGUGAUUGUUAGGGUCUAGCCCAAAGUAAAAUCUAAAUGAAAGAGGGGGGAAAAGCUGAGCAUAUAAAACUCAACUCAACUCAAC
Molecule: unclassified non-coding RNA, 2226 nt
Filed under: Hevea brasiliensis (rubber tree)
Lineage: Eukaryota; Viridiplantae; Streptophyta; Magnoliopsida; Malpighiales; Euphorbiaceae
Source: RNAcentral